Molecule: long non-coding RNA, 1461 nt
Filed under: Felis catus (domestic cat)
Lineage: Eukaryota; Metazoa; Chordata; Mammalia; Carnivora; Felidae
Description: lncRNA (ENSFCAG00000049291.1)
Source: RNAcentral
AUGCAGGAACGGGGAGAAGGCCAGAGACAGGCCUGCCUCUCCGAUCUGGGCCUGCACGUGCCUGGGCCCUGCCACGGUGGCGCCGGGCCCAGCCUCUGCUGGAGGGAUCCCCAGGAGAAGGCCGAGCAGAGAGGCACCCGACUCCGUGCAGGUGUGAAGGCUGAGGGUCAGACCCUUCACACUCCUGCUUUCAGCAGAGGAGGACCAGAGGGGGGGGCCGCAGGGACCGUGUUCCCGCAGUGUGCUGCAGGCCUGAUGGACACGGUCGGAACAGAGGUUCCACUUACAGAGGACGAGACUGAGGUUCAGAGUGGCCAGGCCCAGGCUGCUCUCGGCCUCCCCUGUCUCUCAGGAAAUUGGCUCUGGCUGCCGGACCAGCUUUCCCUGGAUUCUCGGCACAGAACCACACACUGGCAUCCUCCAGGGGUCCGAGUAUGUGCGGCUGGGGAACCGGAUUCCUGCCUGAACAGAACCCACCCGGCCAGCACUCCCUCUCCAUCACGCACGGCCCCUCCGGAGAACGUUCACUCUCCAUCAUGCACGGCCCCUCUGAGGCCCCAAACUCCUCCCGGCAGCAGCGGCCUGAUCCCAUUUCACGGAGGGGAAAGCCGAGGCCCAGGGGAGUCAAGCACAUGCCGAGGCCGAGGAGGGAGAGCUCCGCUAUACCUCCCGUCCCGCGAGCACCCGGGCGGGCCUGGCCUACCUCAGCCUCGGCCCCUCCGGAGUGAGCCCCUCCACACAGGUGCGCUCAGAAAGUUCCAUGUUUGUGGAGCUGGCUUCCGCCUGGAUCACAGCCUCAGUCCUCACGGUAAUCGACUGCUCGAUAAUCAAAUUGAUUUCCAUUCCAAUGAGUCCUGCCUGCCGCCUACAUUCCAGGAACCGUAUUUUGAGCACAGACAUAUAAUCAAACGGCAAAAAGCAGAGGGCACAGAGGGCCUCUCUGCCAAUCGAAUAAAAGCUAAAUGGCCCGAGCUUUUAGGCCUAAUCACUUCUGUAUUCCCACCAGGGCCGGGUCUCCAGCAAAGCCCAUCUGAUCGAGGCUGGGCUCACCCGAGCAUUUUGGCUUCAGGUCCUAAUAUCCCCCCCCAGCCUUGCUGGUCUCCCCUGAUCUGCCGGGGUGGCCUGAUGGUUCCCUUCCAACCGAAGUCCAGCUUCCCCUUCGGGAGGGGCUCUGCCGCUCUGUCCUGGAGACGUUCCCGGGCCCGGCGCCGGGCGGUGCACCCCUCCUCCUGGCCUGUCCCCUGGGACUGGGGUGGCCGAGAGUCCCUGGAGGCCCCAGGGCACAGGUCCAGGAGCCCAGGAGCACAGGGCACCGGCCCUCCAGCCCAGGCCGUCCCCGGUCUGUGUGGAGCCCUGGCCUGGGGGGGCUCUCGAAGGGGCGCGUCGGGUCCUGAGGCCCAGCGGCUGCCCAGGGCCUGUGUGGAGACACAGACCUCGAGAGCCCCUGCAGCCAGUCUCUGA